This is a long non-coding RNA of Setaria italica (foxtail millet), 1808 nucleotides long. RefSeq lists it as uncharacterized. The transcript has 2 exons. The record is from RefSeq and is a predicted model, not a curated record. NCBI's taxonomy places the organism in Eukaryota, Viridiplantae, Streptophyta, Magnoliopsida, Poales, Poaceae.
AAUAACCCCCUAAAUUUGCAAUUAAAUUUCCCACCACUAAUAUUUAAACAAUAAAUUAAAAUUAACCUCUUAAAUUUGCGUCUAUAUUACCCACAUAUGUCAUUAUUAAAAAUAACAUGGGGUAACUCUAAAUUUGAAUCAAAAUCAUCAUCAUUAAAAAUAUAAUGCAAUGUACGUUAAUAUAUGGUUCUAAAUUGCAUAUUUUUUGCACUAAUAGUAUAUAAUAUAAUAAUAAGAUAGUCAACAUUUAUAAAUAAAUAAAGGAAGUGACAAGGAUGUAGAUUUUUAUGUUAAAAUUGUAGCUUAAACUUUAGGUUUGUUAAACAAAUUCAAACACACAACUACGAUGCAAAGUGAAAAGUUAAAGAUUAUAAAUGUGGAUGAAAAAUUAUACGUAAUUACUAACUAAAAUAUAUCAUAAUCGAAUGAAAAUAAUAAAUAUAUAUUUAUAUAAGUAUUGUGUUAGAAUACUUAAUAAAUAAGAGGUAACUCAAGCCUCUAUGUAACAGUUUUGUAGCAAUGUGGCCUCAUUUUUUAAUUGGAGACUCCACAUUAUUAAUUCUCAUGAGAUAUGCUAGAAAAAAAUAUAAACUCUAGAAUUUCUUACAAAAAGCAGAAACUUCGAACAUCGAUCAUGUAAACUCUAAUAAUCAUAGUUAAUAAUCUAUUAUAUUUUCUAUAAUGUUACCCAACACUAUCAUUCUAAACCUAUAUCUAAAUUACCUAGCUCUACCAUAAUAAAAAAUAAUCUAAAAAUAACCACAUAAUCUUCAUCUAAUUUACCCAUGCAUAUCAUUACAAAACACAACAUCAAAUACUAUUCCAGAUUUGUAUCUAAGUUAUGUCAUUACUAAAAAUAACCUAAAAUAAAAACCUAAAUCUUAAUCUAAUUAUAUAUGUGUUCAUCGUACAUAAAUGUCCAAAAGUAAACUAAUAUAUGAAUUUGAAUUACGUAUUUGUGUCAUUGUUAAUAUAGAAAUACUAAGUUAAGCUAUCUACACAUGGUGGGUGUCACCAUGUAAACUAUUUUUAAUGUAUGUGACGAAGCGAUGAAAAAUAUUAAUUUUAAUGCUAAACACAAUAUAUGAUGGUGCAAUACAAAAUGAAAAAAAUGUGAACGUGGAUUGAAAAAAGUGUAGAGUAAUUACUAAUUAAAAAUCAAUCACAACUAUUAAUAUAAGUACACAUAUCUAUAUGAGUAUUGAGUUACAAUAUUAAAUAAAUAAGAGAGUAGUAAGAGCCUAAUUUCUAAAUAAUUUUCAAAUAUAAUAGUUUUUAAAAAUAUUAGCUCGUGCGGGAGCACGGGUUGAUGGAUCUGUUUGAAAUGGUUGUCCUAACGCAGGUGGUGCUUGGAAUAAGCUAGAGUUCUGUCUUGGUGUUUGUUUGUUCAAGGAGUACAGGAUUGUCAUGCAAGGGGCUAAGAUCCCUUAUCAUCCAAACAUGCGGGAAGUUUGGAAGGAGCGUAAUACAUGAUUUUCGAUCAUGUGGAGGUACCUUGCUUUGUGGUCAUAAAAGAGUGAGGCAUCGAAUUGGAUUAUGGCAGGGGCGAAGCACCUGGCUUACUGGGACGAGUUUGAGUUGAGUUGCUUUGUGUCUUCUUUUGAGAUGCGGCUGCUCUCCAGCUGUAAAUGGCAGAGUCGUUUGUAGUUGCCGACCUCUUGGGUCGUUCCCUCUUUUUCAAUAUAACAUCUUCAAAAAAUGGUUUGUGGUAGAUGCUUGUGAUCCGGUCUUGUUUAUUGAAAUGAUCAUUCCUAUGCUCUUGUCUUGGGAACUUAUGAUAAUGAACUCUGUUAGGUGCUUGGAGAGGA